RNAcentral lists this long non-coding RNA (285 nucleotides) under Homo sapiens (human). RNAcentral describes it as "non-protein coding PSMA3-AS1:2". Lineage: Eukaryota; Metazoa; Chordata; Mammalia; Primates; Hominidae. The record is from RNAcentral.
AAACCAGCUUGUCGGCGCCAUUUUGUCUCGGCAGCGGUGGCCGUAGCUCCAUCGCAUUUUAUGUUUCUGGCGAGAAGGGAACGGAGUUUUCAUCAGGUAGAUUGGUUUUUGUGCGGCCGUCCUCCACCGUUUCCUCCAGGACAGCACCUAGUCGUGGCCGGAGGAGUCUCAGAGCUGUCAGAAAAAUAAGACUGAUUUUAUGGGAAAAUUAAGCAGAUGCUCCAGUUUGAGAAACCUGGAUCUGCGAUCUGUUUGUAGUGGUAUUCAGUUAAGAGAACAAUUAUU